RNAcentral lists this ribosomal RNA (837 nucleotides) under Wojnowiciella eucalypti. RNAcentral's name for it is "LSU rRNA". It matches the Rfam family "Eukaryotic large subunit ribosomal RNA", at positions 81 to 939 of the family's 3401-position model. Lineage: Eukaryota; Fungi; Ascomycota; Dothideomycetes; Pleosporales; Phaeosphaeriaceae. The record is from RNAcentral.
UAGUACGGCGAGUGAAGCGGCAACAGCUCAAUUUGAAAUCUGGCUCUUUCAGGGUCCGAGUUGUAAUUUGCAGAGGGCGCUUUGGCGUUGGCAGCGGUCCAAGUUCUUUGGAACAGGACGUCACAGAGGGUGAGAAUCCCGUACGUGGUCGCUAACCUUCGCCGUGUAAAGCCCCUUCGACGAGUCGAGUUGUUUGGGAAUGCAGCUCUAAAUGGGAGGUAAAUUUCUUCUAAAGCUAAAUACUGGCCAGAGACCGAUAGCGCACAAGUAGAGUGAUCGAAAGAUGAAAAGCACUUUGGAAAGAGAGUCAAAUAGCACGUGAAAUUGUUGAAAGGGAAGCGCUUGCAGCCAGACUUGCCUGUAGUUGCUUAUCCGGACUUUUGUCCGGUGCACUCUUCUGCAGGCAGGCCAGCAUCAGUUUGGGCGGUUGGAUAAAGGUCUCUAUCACGUACCUCCCUUCGGGGUUGGCCUUAUAGGGGAGACGUCAUGCAACCAGCCUGGACUGAGGUCCGCGCAUCUGCUAGGAUGCUGGCGUAAUGGCUGUAAGCGGCCCGUCUUGAAACACGGACCAAGGAGUCUAACAUCUAUGCGAGUGUUUGGGUGUCAAGCCCAGACGCGUAAUGAAAGUGAACGGAGGUGGGAACCUUUUAGGUGCACCAUCGACCGAUCCUGAUGUCUUCGGAUGGAUUUGAGUAAGAGCAUGGCUGUUGGGACCCGAAAGAUGGUGAACUAUGCUUGAAUAGGGUGAAGCCAGAGGAAACUCUCGUGGAGGCUCGCAGCGGUUCUGACGUGCAAAUCGAUCGUCAAAUUUGGGCAUAGGGCGAAAGACUAAUCGAA